CAGGCGCUGCCGGCGCCCGUCUUGGCCGCGCCGCUCUCCUCGCCGCCGCCCCACCCCUCGUCCUGCAACGGCGGCCGGCCGUCCAGCGAGAUGUUGGCCGAGGGUGCAGCCCCUUGAGAUAAAUACACGCCCCUCCGUGCGUAAGAGCCCAGGCGCGCUUGAACGUCCUCUGUGUGCGCAGACUGAUUUACACAUCCCCGUCUGAUGGUGCCGUCACUUUUCAUCUCUCUCUUAGCAAAGGCCAACGUCAACUUUUACUCUAUGAAGACCGAGAAAAGCCAUGAUGGCCUCAUACCCUUUCCCCCUUGUCACCUUGCACAAUUUGUGGAUUAUGAUCUCGGUUUAUCCCAUAUAAACUGGGAACAGUAUGAUUACUUUCUGUCAUUUAUUUCAUAAACAUCCGUUUGGCACUUACCCCAUCUUCUCUUAAGACGGGUCCCUGCCCAAGGAUUGGAAGAUCGUUCGUUCGGGAGCAGUUGGCAUGCUGUACCUCGGAGCUCCAGCCCCACCAAAUGCCUGUGUUGGCUGAGGAGGGUGGGGGGCUAGGGGGCACCAGGACCGACCUGAGAAACGUGUACCAGUUUCCCUGUGCGGUUUGGGUGACAUACCAAAUGUAGUAAGGGACAAUUGUCACACUUGAUUAAGCUCAGCGCCAUCUCAGACACCUCUCUACACUUUUCUGAGGGAGAAGCAAUGUGUUUACCAUCAGGGGAUUAAUUUAAUUAAAGGUUUAAAUUUAGCUCUGGAACUAAUGGGUAACUCUACAUUGAAAUUCCACUCCACUUCAGGUUCAGGAAAGUAAAUUGAGUAAUGUGGAGCAAAUACACCAGAGAUGUGCACUGAGCCUGGAGUGUACGAGAUAUGGACCAUCUGAGACCAGAUGCAAGACCUAAGUGAGACUUACUGGGAAGCUCCAGGAUAUUGAAUGCAGAACCGAAGUCAGUGAGGACCACAGAGCCACACUGCAUAGCUCACAAAGUGGGACUUCCUUAUAGUCCUCAUCCCAGUAUUUCCUAAAAGCGCCAAUCCCUGCUCCGUUCUGGGCUAGGUUCUGUGAGUACCAAAGAGAACAGGAUGUGACCUUUUCCUGGAGACCGAAAGUGAAUGGCAGAGAAAGCUGCAUCCAUAUUGUCACCAAAAAUACACCAAGUAUUUAAAAGAAAGCGCUGUAUGCACAGGGUUCAGCUAAACCCCAGCAGACCUCCUAGACCGGAGGCUAUCUCAGCCUUCGCCCCUCUGCACCACCCACCGAAGACACCCUCCUCUUCCUGCACGGGAGAUGCCCUGGGGAGGUACAUUCCUGCCACCCGGCUGCCAUAGUGCGAUUGCCUCAGAUUGUCUCCAAGUCUCCUCAUCCUGCCUGAGGUCCUGCCCUUCCCUCCAUGGUUGGUACCUGCAGCCCCACACCUAGGUCCACACAGGAACAUUUUGCCUCCAGUCCCCUCACAUUCUGUGGAGGAAAGAGAAUUUUAUGACAGUCCCUGCCUAGGAUGACUGACGUAAGGCCUCCAGGCUCUUAAUAACUGGUGUGAGAAG
Mustela erminea (ermine) is the source of this 1536-nucleotide long non-coding RNA. RefSeq lists it as uncharacterized. The transcript is spliced from 3 exons. The record is from RefSeq and is a predicted model, not a curated record. Lineage: Eukaryota; Metazoa; Chordata; Mammalia; Carnivora; Mustelidae.